This is a non-coding RNA of Trichonephila inaurata madagascariensis, 74 nucleotides long. The record is from the annotation of a GenBank genome assembly. Lineage: Eukaryota; Metazoa; Arthropoda; Arachnida; Araneae; Nephilidae.
UCCACGGUAGUAUAGUGGUCAGUAUCCCCGCCUGUCACGCGCGGGAACCGGGGUUCGAUUCACCGCCGGGGGUA